UAACGUAGCGAAAGUUACGCUAAUACCGCAUAUUCUGUGAGCAGGAAAGCAGGGGAUCUUCGGACCUUGCGCUUUUGGAGCGGCCGAUGUCGGAUUAGCUAGUUGGUGGGUAAGGCCACCAAGGCGACGAUCCGUAGCGGGUCUGAGAGGAUGAUCCGCCACACUGGAACUGAGACACGGUCCAGACUCCUACGGGAGGCAGCAGUGGGGGAUUUUGGACAAUGGGCGCAAGCCUGAUCCAGCCAUGCCGCGUGAGUGAAGAAGGCCUUCGGGUUGUAAAAGCUCUUUCGGUGGGGAAGAAAUUGCUUGGGUUAAUACCCUGAGUAGAUGACGGUACCCGCAUAAGAAGCACCGGCUAACUACGUG
Molecule: ribosomal RNA, 366 nt
Filed under: uncultured bacterium
Lineage: Bacteria
Description: bacterial SSU rRNA
Rfam family: Bacterial small subunit ribosomal RNA
Source: RNAcentral